GAUAGCGUGGCCGAGCGGUCCUAAGGCGCUGGAUUAAGGCUCCAGUCUCUUCCGAGGCUUGUUUUCGAAUCCCACUGCUGUCA
Molecule: transfer RNA, 83 nt
Filed under: Merluccius polli (Benguela hake)
Lineage: Eukaryota; Metazoa; Chordata; Actinopteri; Gadiformes; Merlucciidae
Description: tRNA-Leu
Rfam family: tRNA
About the family: Transfer RNA (tRNA) molecules are approximately 80 nucleotides in length. Their secondary structure includes four short double-helical elements and three loops (D, anti-codon, and T loops).
Source: RNAcentral